This is a long non-coding RNA of Mytilus californianus (California mussel), 368 nucleotides long. RefSeq lists it as uncharacterized. NCBI's taxonomy places the organism in Eukaryota, Metazoa, Mollusca, Bivalvia, Mytilida, Mytilidae. The record is from RefSeq and is a predicted model, not a curated record. The transcript is spliced from 3 exons.
CGCUUUUGUAAAAAAAUAAACAGCACAACAACAACAGCACUCGACGUCAGUUUUGUACCAAAAAAUGAAAAAAAUAUUCAGAAAGAAGGCUCAUAAAAUUCAAAUAUUGGACAAGAACUAUAGAAGAUACAGAGAAAUUAUAAACAGCAGAAAUGAUAGGCAAUUUCAAAUUUGCAGAAGUCAACAAAUCCUAAAUGGUGAUCAGACAUCUUGGUUUUCAUGAUCAAUAGGUCAAUACUGAAGAGGAAACUGAAAGUUGAUAUCUAUCUACAUGGUGCGCUAAUUGGAUUAAUGUGAAAUGGAAUGUGUGCUUUCCUGCAAAAAAGAAAUAGGAAAUUUCAUCAAAAUCACAUGAUAAUGGCUAUAAA